This 646-nucleotide unclassified non-coding RNA is filed under the name Hevea brasiliensis (rubber tree). Lineage: Eukaryota; Viridiplantae; Streptophyta; Magnoliopsida; Malpighiales; Euphorbiaceae. The record is from RNAcentral.
AGGCUGUACAGUGGUGAACUUUCUCAACUUGGGAAUGCUGAACGGUUCCUGAAGGUCUUGGUUGACAUUCCAUUUACUUAUAAACGAUUGGAAGCUCUGCUUUUCAUGUGUACUCUACAGGAAGAGGGUGCCACUACUAAGGAAUCCUUUGAAACCUUGGAGGUUGCUUGCAAGGAACUCAAAAACAGUAGAUUGUUCCUCAAGCUUCUAGAAGCUGUUCUUAAAACUGGCAACCGCAUGAAUGAUGGAACAUUCCGUGGUGGUGCUCAAGCAUUUAAACUUGACACACUUCUGAAAUUAUCUGAUGUGAAGGGAACAGAUGGUAAGACCACAUUGUUGCACUUUGUCGUUCAGGAGAUAAUACGUUCUGAAGGUGUGAGAGCCGCCCGUGUAGCAAGGGAGAGUCAUACGUUCUCUAACAUCAGUGUGAAGAGCAAUGAUCUCCUUGAGGAUAUUACCGCUGAUACAGAAUAUGACUAUAGCAAACUUGGUCUUCAGGUGGUUUCUUGUUUGAGCAGUGAACUAGGAAAUGUCAAGAAAGCAGCAAUUGUAGAUCCUGAUAGCUUAACAGGAACUGUUGCUAAACUUGGCAAUUCACUGUUAAAAACCCAAGAUUUCCUGAACAAGGAUAUGAAGAGUUUAGGGG